This 255-nucleotide ribosomal RNA is filed under the name uncultured bacterium. Its description in RNAcentral is "partial 16S ribosomal RNA". It matches the Rfam family "Bacterial small subunit ribosomal RNA", at positions 524 to 777 of the family's 1533-position model. The record is from RNAcentral.
UACGUAGGUGGCGAGCGUUGUCCGGAUUUACUGGGCGUAAAGAGCGCGCAGGCGGUCGUACAAGUCGCGUGUGAAAGCCCCCGGCUCAACUGGGGAGGGUCACGCGAUACUGUUCGACUCGAAGGCAGGAGAGGGUAGUGGAAUUCCCGGUGUAGUGGUGAAAUGCGUAGAUAUCGGGAGGAACACCAGUGGCGAAGGCGGUUGCCUGGGGCUUUGCUGACGCUGAUGCGCGAAAGCGUGGGGGAGCGAGUCCGG